CGGCAUGCUUUACACAUGCAAGUCGAACGGCAGCGCGGGGCAACCUGGCGGCGAGUGGCGAACGGGUCAGUAAUACAUCGGAACGUACCCAGAAGUGGGGGAUAACGUAGCGAAAGUUACGCUAAUACCGCAUACGUUCUACGGAAGAAAGUGGGGGAUCUUUGGACCUCAUGCUUUUGGAGCGGCCGAUGUCUGAUUAGCUAGUUGNNNNNGUAAAGGCUCACCAAGGCGACGAUCAGUAGCUGGUCUGAGAGGACGACCAGCCACACUGGGACUGAGACACGGCCCAGACUCCUACGGGAGGCAGCAGUGGGGAAUUUUGGACAAUGGGCGCAAGCCUGAUCCAGCAAUGCCGCGUGAGUGAAGAAGGCCUUNNGGUUGUAAAGCUCUUUUGUCAGGGAAGAAACGGCUGGGGCUAAUAUCCCCGGCUAAUGACGGUACCUGAAGAAUAAGCACCGGCUAACUACGUGCCAGCAGCCGCGGUAAUACGUAGGGUGCAAGCGUUAAUCGGAAUUACUGGGCGUAAAGCGUGCGCAGGCGGUUUUGUAAGUCUGACGUGAAAUCCCCGGGCUCAACCUGGGAAUUGCGUUGGAGACUGCAAGGCUGGAGCCUGGCAGAGGGGGGUAGAAUUCCACGUGUAGCAGUGAAAUGCGUAGAGAUGUGGAGGAACACCGAUGGCGAACGCAGCCCCCUGGGUCAAGACUGACGCUCAUGC
RNAcentral lists this ribosomal RNA (715 nucleotides) under bacterium enrichment culture clone SC-1_28. Its description in RNAcentral is "bacterial SSU rRNA". It matches the Rfam family "Bacterial small subunit ribosomal RNA", at positions 40 to 752 of the family's 1533-position model. The record is from RNAcentral.